Long non-coding RNA from Raphanus sativus (radish), 843 nucleotides. RefSeq lists it as uncharacterized. NCBI's taxonomy places the organism in Eukaryota, Viridiplantae, Streptophyta, Magnoliopsida, Brassicales, Brassicaceae. The transcript has 4 exons. The record is from RefSeq and is a predicted model, not a curated record.
AGAAAGUGAUGUUUGGUUUCCUAUUUCUGUCGGUAAACAUCUGAAAAACCUUUGUAUUUCUUCUUCGAUGUUCGAUACGAUUUCAUCUUUCAUAUUACUCUUUAAUCUGUUCAAGAAAAGCUUAGGAGUAGUUUUAGAAUCUGCGAUUAUAUGAGUUAGACACCAAGUUUCCUUCUUUUUCCUCUGAAGAAUACAAAAUGAGACGACUUCUAUCUUCUUUCUCCGGAGAAUAAAAAGACGAUAUCUUGCUUCUUGUUUCGUGCAUGUCUAUGAUCGAUUCUCCCCUCUUCCCUAAUUUCGAUUGAAAUAGUUUAUGCAAGGUUUUGGUCGGAGUUUACAUGGAUGAUGACUUCAGGAUAAUAGUAUCAAGUAGACGUCGUGAUAUGAAGCUAAUUAGAGAAUGAAAUGUAUCAGGAUUGAUAUGCAUUGGAGAUUGAGUUGGCUUCUAAGUAUAAAAGAAGAUCUGAAGCAAUCAAAAUAGUGACUUGCGUUUUCCAAAUUCAUAAAAUGGAAUCAAGACUCUUGUUCUACAAAGAAAUGGUGUUUCAUGCUUCUAUGAAGAUAAGUUUACUCGAAUAUCUCUGCCUUGUUGUACUUUAAGAUAGAUUUUUAUUUCAAAACAAACUAUAAAAAUUGGCAUAUUCAUCUAGCAAAUAGAAAAAACAAUUUACUUGGGAUUAGGAUUCUUUAGUAAUAGAUAUAUUAAGUAAUAGAAUGAUCAUAACCUCUUAGACACAUUGGUUAAUAAGACAUAUAGUAUUGUUCUUUUGAAUCGUGAGUAGGUUUCUGUUAUUUGUUUUGUUUAGCUUGGUAAUCGUGAUUAAAAAAAACACUGCUAGCCAU